UACAGAGGGGGCAAGCGUUAUUCGGAAUCAUUGGGCGUAAAGAGCGUGUAGGCGGCCUGAUAAGUCGGCUGUGAAAGUCAAGGGCUCAACCCUUGAAUGCCGGCCGAUACUGUCAGGCUAGAAUCCGGAAGAGGCGAGUGGAAUUCCUGGUGUAGCGGUGAAAUGCGCAGAUAUCAGGAGGAACACCUAUGGCGAAGGCAGCUCGCUGGGACGGUAUUGACGCUGAGGAGCGAAAGCCAGGGGAGCAAACGGG
This 253-nucleotide ribosomal RNA is filed under the name uncultured bacterium. Its description in RNAcentral is "partial 16S ribosomal RNA". It matches the Rfam family "Bacterial small subunit ribosomal RNA", at positions 524 to 776 of the family's 1533-position model. The record is from RNAcentral.